This 45-nucleotide non-coding RNA is filed under the name Prorocentrum micans. The record is from RNAcentral. Lineage: Eukaryota; Dinophyceae; Prorocentrales; Prorocentraceae.
UUUUUUUUUUUUUUUUUUUUUUUUUUUUUUUUUUUUUUUUUCUUG